AACGAACGCUGGCGGCAGGCCUAACACAUGCAAGUCGAGCGCGCCCUUCGGGGUGAGCGGCGGACGGGUGAGUAACGCGUGGGAACGUGCCCUUUUCUACGGAAUAGCCUCGGGAAACUGAGAGUAAUACCGUAUACGCCCUUUGGGGGAAAGAUUUAUCGGAAAAGGAUCGGCCCGCGUUGGAUUAGGUAGUUGGUGGGGUAAUGGCCUACCAAGCCGACGAUCCAUAGCUGGUUUGAGAGGAUGAUCAGCCACACUGGGACUGAGACACGGCCCAGACUCCUACGGGAGGCAGCAGUGGGGAAUCUUAGACAAUGGGGGCAACCCUGAUCUAGCCAUGCCGCGUGAGUGAUGAAGGCCUUAGGGUUGUAAAGCUCUUUCAGCUGGGAAGAUAGUGACGGUACCAGCAGAAGAAGCCCCGGCUAACUCCGUG
Molecule: ribosomal RNA, 433 nt
Filed under: uncultured bacterium
Lineage: Bacteria
Description: partial 16S ribosomal RNA
Rfam family: Bacterial small subunit ribosomal RNA
Source: RNAcentral